AUUGAACGCUGGCGGCAUGCCUUACACAUGCAAGUCGAACGGUAACAGGUUAAGCUGAUGAGUGGCGAACGGGUGAGUAAUAUAUCGGAACGUGCCCAGUCGUGGGGGAUAACGUAGCGAAAGCUACGCUAAUACCGCAUACGAUCUACGGAUGAAAGCGGGGGAUCGCAAGACCUCGCGCGAUUGGAGCGGCCGAUAUCAGAUUAGGUUGUUGGUGAGGUAAAAGCUCACCAAGCCUGCGAUCUGUAGCUGGUCUGAGAGGACGACCAGCCACACUGGAACUGAGACACGGUCCAGACUCCUACGGGAGGCAGCAGUGGGGAAUUUUGGACAAUGGACGCAAGUCUGAUCCAGCAAUGCCGCGUGCAGGACGAAGGCCUUCGGGUUGUAAAUUGCUUUUGUACGGAACGAAACGGUGAGCUCUAAUACAGUUUGCUAAUGACGGUACCGUAAGAAUAAGCACCGGCUAACUACGUGCCAGCCGCUGCCGUAA
This 493-nucleotide ribosomal RNA is filed under the name uncultured bacterium. Its description in RNAcentral is "partial 16S ribosomal RNA". It matches the Rfam family "Bacterial small subunit ribosomal RNA", at positions 30 to 523 of the family's 1533-position model. The record is from RNAcentral.